This 489-nucleotide ribosomal RNA is filed under the name uncultured bacterium. RNAcentral describes it as "partial 16S ribosomal RNA". It matches the Rfam family "Bacterial small subunit ribosomal RNA", at positions 28 to 507 of the family's 1533-position model. The record is from RNAcentral.
GACGAACGCUGGCGGCGUGCUUAACACAUGCAAGUCGAACGGUGAAGGGACCAGCUUGCUGGUUCUGGCUGAGUGGCGAACGGGUGAGUAACACGUGAGUAACCUGCCCCCUUCUUCUGGAUAACCGCAUGAAAGUGUGGCUAAUACGGGAUAUUCUGGGUCUGUCGCAUGGCGGGCCCGGGAAAGAUAUUGCUUCGGUUGGGGAUGGGCUCGCGGCCUUUCAGCUUGUUGGUGGGGUGAUGGCCUACCACGGCGGUGACGGGUAGCCGGCCUGAGAGGGGGGACGGUGACACUGGGACUGGGACACGGCCCAGACUCCUACGGGAGGCAGCGGUGGGGAAGAUAGCACAGUGGGCGCAAGCCUGAUGCAGCGACGCCGCGUGAGGGAUGGAGGCCUUCGGGUUGUAAACCUCUUUCGCAAGUGAAGCAGGCCUGCUCCUUGUGGGUGGGUUGACGGUAGCUGGAUAAGAAGCGCCGGCUAACUACGUG